RNAcentral lists this long non-coding RNA (201 nucleotides) under Elaeis guineensis (African oil palm). RNAcentral describes it as "long non-coding RNA (EGUI_LNC014339)". Lineage: Eukaryota; Viridiplantae; Streptophyta; Magnoliopsida; Arecales; Arecaceae. The record is from RNAcentral.
AAGUUCAAAUCAAAUUCGAACUUAGAUAAGAGUCAGAUUUCAAGUUAAAUUCAAUCCAAUUUGAAUUUGAACUAAAUCAGAAUUUAUCUCAUCCUUUGGGACAUGUAGAGGGGGCGACGAAAUACCUUUUGCAUUGAUUAUUUCUCAAGAAAAUCUAAUAUUUGCAUUGGGAAGAGUGGGGCAUGCGCAAGGGUGGUCGGC